UGGGGAAUCUUGCACAAUGGGCGCAAGCCUGCUGCAGCCAUGCCGCGUGUAUGAAGAAGGCCUUCGGGUUGUAAAGUACUUUCAGUCGGGAGGAAGGUGUCAAGGUUAAUAACCUUGGCAAUUGACGUUACCGACAGAAGAAGCACCGGCUAACUCCGUGCCAGCAGCCGCGGUAAUACGGAGGGUGCAAGCGUUAAUCGGAAUUACUGGGCGUAAAGCGCACGCAGGCGGUUGAUUGAGUCAGAUGUGAAAUCCCCGGGCUUAACCCGAGAAUUGCAUCUGAUACUGGUCAGCUAGAGUCUUGUAGAGUGGGGUAGAAUUCCAUGUGUAGCGGUGAAAUGCGUAGAGAGGUGGAGGAAUACCGGUGGCGAAGGCGGCCCCCUGGACAAAGACUGACGCUCAGGUGCGAAAGCGUGGGGAGCAAACAGG
Molecule: ribosomal RNA, 429 nt
Filed under: Chloroflexota bacterium
Lineage: Bacteria; Bacillati; Chloroflexota
Description: Chloroflexi bacterium partial 16S ribosomal RNA
Rfam family: Bacterial small subunit ribosomal RNA
Source: RNAcentral